Molecule: ribosomal RNA, 305 nt
Filed under: uncultured bacterium
Lineage: Bacteria
Description: bacterial SSU rRNA
Rfam family: Bacterial small subunit ribosomal RNA
Source: RNAcentral
AGAAUCCUACGGGGGGCAGCAGUGAGGAAUAUUGGUCAAUGGGCGGGAGCCUGAACCAGCCAAGCCGCGUGAAGGAAGAAGGGGCCAAGCGUCGUAAACUUCUUUUGUCGGGGAACAAAGGGCGCCACGUGUGGCGUUGUGAGGGUACCCGAAGAAAAAGCAUCGGCUAACUCCGUGCCAGCAGCCGCGGUAAUACGGAGGAGGCGAGCGUUAUCCGGAUUUAUUGGGUUUAAAGGGUGCGUAGGCGGUCCGGAAAGUCAGCGGUAAAAGCCCGGGGCUCAACCCCGGCGAGCCGUUGAAACGGG